UAUACUUUUAUACGUAUUAUAUAUUUUAGGCUGAGCUCAGGCUUAAUAUUCAUAGGCCUGGGCUCAAACCCUUAACUUUUCAAGCUUAAGCUUGGUGCCCACCCAGCCAUCCCUAGCUCAUAAAAUGAUGAAGUUCAGUAGAAACUAACCAUUGAAGAAAAAAGUUUCACAAUCUAUUAUGGACCUGACUAUAUGAAAACUAUCAAUAAAUCAAGCAUCGCAUCAGUGAUAGUAGCAAAACCUAGAAAAGAGAGAAAGCCUUCAUUUUGGCAUUUUCUUUUUCUAAUUUCUGAAAGGAAAGGACUUAUAUAUUGGAAUCAACCAGGAUUUGGACAAAAAAUAAUUAAUG
Molecule: unclassified non-coding RNA, 349 nt
Filed under: Hevea brasiliensis (rubber tree)
Lineage: Eukaryota; Viridiplantae; Streptophyta; Magnoliopsida; Malpighiales; Euphorbiaceae
Source: RNAcentral